This 344-nucleotide ribosomal RNA is filed under the name uncultured Geobacter sp. Its description in RNAcentral is "bacterial SSU rRNA". It matches the Rfam family "Bacterial small subunit ribosomal RNA", at positions 487 to 830 of the family's 1533-position model. Lineage: Bacteria; Pseudomonadati; Thermodesulfobacteriota; Desulfuromonadia; Geobacterales; Geobacteraceae. The record is from RNAcentral.
GAAGCACCGGCUAACUCCGUGCCAGCAGCCGCGGUAAUACGGAGGGUGCAAGCGUUGUUCGGAUUUAUUGGGCGUAAAGCGCGUGUAGGCGGUCUUUUAAGUCUGAUGUGAAAGCCCUGGGCUCAACCCAGGAAGUGCAUUGGAUACUGGGAGACUUGAAUACGGGAGAGGGUAGUGGAAUUCCUAGUGUAGGAGUGAAAUCCGUAGAUAUUAGGAGGAACACCGGUGGCGAAGGCGGCUACCUGGACCGAUAUUGACGCUGAGACGCGAAAGCGUGGGGAGCAAACAGGAUUAGAUACCCUGGUAGUCCACGCCGUAAACGAUGAGAACUAGGUGUCGCGGGU